AUAUUGCACAAUGGGCGAAAGCCUGAUGCAGCGACGCCGCGUGAGGGAUGACGGCCUUCGGGUUGUAAACCUCUUUCAGUCAGGAACAAGCCUUCGGGUGAGGGUACUGGCAGAAGAAGCACCGGCUAACUACGUGCCAGCAGCCGCGGUAAUACGUAGGGUGCGAGCGUUAUCCGGAAUUAUUGGGCGUAAAGAGCUUGUAGGCGGUUUGUCGCGUCUGCUGUGAAAGCCCGGGGCUUAACUCCGGGUCUGCAGUGGGUACGGGCAGGCUAGAGUGAUGUAGGGGUAACUGGAAUUCCUGGUGUAGCGGUGGAAUGCGCAGAUAUCAGGAAGAACACCGAUGGCGAAGGCAGGUUACUGGGCAUUUACUGACGCUGAGAAGCGAAAGCAUGGGGAGCGAAC
RNAcentral lists this ribosomal RNA (402 nucleotides) under uncultured bacterium. RNAcentral's name for it is "bacterial SSU rRNA". It matches the Rfam family "Bacterial small subunit ribosomal RNA", at positions 361 to 773 of the family's 1533-position model. The record is from RNAcentral.